Molecule: long non-coding RNA, 1237 nt
Organism: Mauremys reevesii (Reeves's turtle)
Lineage: Eukaryota; Metazoa; Chordata; Testudines; Geoemydidae
Exons: 3
Source: RefSeq, a predicted model, not a curated record
CUCCCCAGACACUCCCUAGAGACACAGGGAGUUGGUUAGGGGCAAGGUGCAUUUCUAGGGGAAGUGAAAUCCUGGGAUCUGGCCCUGGACUAGAGAGAAGCUGAGAUGGGUGAAGUAGCCCCUGGGAGCGGAGGAAGCUUAGGCUGAUAAAUCCAGAGAUGAGCCAGGAGAGGGAGAAGUCAGCUGCCAGACCGAGAGAGAGCCAAUCCCCAGACCCAGCCACAAGGAGGCGCCCCUGCAGCGAGUGCACCCGGUUACAAGCUGGCCACGCUGUGAAAUGUCUCUGUGCCCAUGAGCUGCUGUCACCUUCCUCAGCACCGUGCCGCCUAGCAUCAGGCUGGGACGUUGUCCUCUCCUGACUUUCGCCUGCUGAAUCGCUGGUGCCACUUCUGGCAUCACCAUGUGCUUUCCUCGGUCGUCUCCUGUCCAAAUCCUGUGGAACCAGAUGGGGCGUAGGGUGCUCCGGGCACCGAAAUCUGCAUGCGGGCUCGUCUUUGGAAGGCAUCAUGCGAAGCUACGAGUCUCCAUGCUCCCACCUGGCGGGAUCGCUGCACUUUUAAAUACCCAUGAAUGGAAAGGACGUGGGCAGAUGAAGACGGGACGAAUGGCCAAGGCGGAAUUACGAUCAUGCUGCGUGUCAUCAGAGACGCCUCUUCGAUCUCACGUCUCAGGAAGGGUUAAGCGGCUUACAGGAAGGGGGCUGGAUGGACAGCGGUCUUGGCUGCAUGCCCUUGCAUCCCUACGUGGCAGCUUUGAUUCCAGCCGGGUUCUUUGAUGGGGAACCUUGGCACAGAGACAUUCAGUGACUUGCCUAGAAUCCCAAAGGAAAUUUUUGAACCUGCAUCUCCUGAGUCCCGGCCCCAUGUGUCACCACAAGACUAGCCUCCCUUCUCUGGGAAAACACCCUCCAGGGGUAAGUAGCACAGAGCUGAGUGAAGACAUCCCAGCUAAUGAUUUCCAUGCGGGAGGCCUUUUCUGCCUGUGGAGCCGUACCAUUUGCUUGUCCCUCAAAAUGAUUUGCCAAGCACUUUUGGAAAAUCAUUAGGAACAAUGGGAUCAUUUGACACUGAGUCAGGCCUGUAGCCCACUGAAUCCAGUCUCCUGACUCGGACGGUGGCCAGGACCAGCCACUUCAAAGCAAGGAGCAAGAACCCCGGCGUGGACAGGAAUGGACUAUGUUGUGUGUACAGCACCUUGCACAAUGGGGUCCCAGUCCAUGCCUGGGGGUCACGGUAAU